RNAcentral lists this ribosomal RNA (2265 nucleotides) under Triticum aestivum (bread wheat). Its description in RNAcentral is "partial small subunit ribosomal RNA". Lineage: Eukaryota; Viridiplantae; Streptophyta; Magnoliopsida; Poales; Poaceae. The record is from RNAcentral.
AUGACAUUCAGAAUCAUACACCGUGACGGCGAAAUCCUCAACCCCAUCUUUAUCCAGUUCGUGGUCGCACUCACUACCACGCUCAUGGUGAUCCGAUUUGUGCUGGAUGCUUUGCGGCAUCGGUUGAUAGGCAGCGCCAUGAAAAAGACUCUGAUCUUUAUGGACGGAGCAACCAAAGCAAUGGUCUUAUACAGUCUUGGGGUCAUGCAACGCCCCUCCAAUAAGGACUACUACUACAAGGUGUGGGCUGUGCUGUUGGUCACCCUCCGUUACAGCGUCAAGAUAGGCCGCCCGGCCGGCAUCGCCGUGAAGCAAACCCCGUUGGUAGACUUGAUGUCCUCCUUCUGGGCUGCCAACAUCCUUCGCUCUAAGGCGCCAAAGAUUCUUAAGAUAACUGGUUGGCUGCUUUGGUCAGUCAACUCUUUACGCAUCAUCCAUGGUUUUGUCUCCUGGGAGUUCGCCAACGAUAGCCACAGAGAGAAUUUGAGGUUAUUAACAGAGUACAUGCGCCAUGAGCAUGAAGCGGGUGAUGCUGAUCCCAAGAAAAUGAAGGGGUACCGAUAUUUGGUGCAGGGCGAAGCCAAGAAACAGAACAUGAAGAAAGAGAACGGCGGACAAGCAAGAGAUGGUGAUAUGGUGGAGGAAACUGAGAAUAUGUGGAGCCUCUUGCAAGCAUUGAGAGAUAAGGACAAGGAGGUCCUGACGCUUGAGAAGAUCUGGGAGGAGCCAGACGACGACCUUGAUGAUGAGCUCAAAGACCUCUGCCUCUCCUUUGCACUCUACAAGCUCCUUCGCAGGCGCUUCUUCAACUUUGGCAUUCAUGAGGCCAAGCUGAAUAAGACGAGACUGCUGGUUCUUGAUGGGAUCCUCGGGGACCGUGAUAAGCGCAGCAACUCUGAAAGGUCGACCCGCAAAAAAAGAAAAAACUCUGAAAGGGCGUUCCGUGUCAGCGAAGCCGAGGUGUCUUUCCUCAAUGACUUCUUCAACAGUAGGCAUGCCAUAGUAUUUGCAAAAGGAUUUCCAUUCAUACGGCUCCUGCUAUCCACCAUUCUGAUAGUGGGAAUCGGAGGCAUGGCGUUUGCUAUCUAUAGCUUUUCCAAGGUUGGUACUGAAGAUGAGCUCGGCAAUGUUCAUGAUGGAGUAGUUUUUACAUGGUUUCUGCUGUCGUUUCUUUUUGUAAAAGAGACAUGGGAGAUCAUGACUUACGUGUUCUCAGACUGGACCAAGAUAAUUUUGUUGUGCCAGUACGUACAGAAGCCAUGGUGGCUGCGAAACUCGGUGACCAAGGCUCUUGUGCGGAACCUCUGUAAGCUCUCUGUGCCCUGGUUGCCAAGAUGGCAUGGAAAGGUUGGCCAAUGCAACAUUCUCUUCCCAAUUCGUUUUGCCUUCCCACUGCGGUUUUUCUUUGGAGCAAGAUAUUCUAGGUACUUUGUAUAUCUGUCAACGGAUGUGAAGGGUACUGUGAUGAACUGUCUCAGAGACUGCUUGGCCAAAUGUCCCGUGCGGUUGGACAACUACCUUGAGCGGGCAUUCGUUCAUGUCAAGGCUGUUGGUUUUCCUGCAAGUGUCAGGGGAGCGGUUACUGGAGUGGAGGACUGUGUGCACAUUCUGCUGGUUUGGCAUAUUGCUACGUGCUACUGCGAGAUUCAUCUCGCUAAAAGAGGAAAGGUGAAAGCCACUCCAAAUCUUGGGGGGUCUCCAUACAUGGUCGCUAGGACAUUAUCGCAGUACUGUGCGUAUGUACUUACACUGGUUCCUCCUCUAGUGCCUGGGAACAGUCUAAUGGGUAGAUCGGUGCUGAUAAAGAUGUAUGAAGAAAAAUGUCGUCUUCUCCUCGGACCCUACAACUCCAGCACCCAUUGUACAUUGCGGGACCAUAUCCUUGUAAGGCUCGAAGAAUAUGCAUCAGGGGACAUACAUUUGUAUGACGAGGAAAAAGACAACACCAUAUUGAAGAAGGGGGCAGCUCUUGGCAAGAAGCUGAUACAAGCGAUCCGCGGUGAUGAUGAUACGCUGGAAGAUCAUCAUAUUGAAGAUCUGUGGAGGUUCUUGUCGGAGUUCUGGGCCGGAUUCGUUAUCCACUUGGCUGCAUCUACAAGGGCUUCUCACCACAAGAUAUAUCUGAGCUCUGGCGGGGAGUUCAUGACACAUCUCUGGGCGUUGCUAACCCAUGCCGGCAUCCUAGGGGAGGUCCAGCACGGCGACCAAAAUAUUGAUAACGCACUAACGCAAGGAGAUGAUUAUGAUCGGACUGUGCAGUAUUAG